Molecule: long non-coding RNA, 963 nt
Filed under: Homo sapiens (human)
Lineage: Eukaryota; Metazoa; Chordata; Mammalia; Primates; Hominidae
Description: HSALNT0323979
Source: RNAcentral
GCCACUGUUUUUUUUUUUUCCUCAGCCUCUUCCAGAUGUUCAUUAACUACUGUUGCCUCCAUUUAUCUAAGUUGGCACACAGAAGAAGUAGAAGAUACAAGGCUCAGAAUGACUAAGAAACAUACAGCUAGUGAGUGGUACAGGCUGGAUCUGGACCCAGAUGUGUCUCGCUCCAGAAUCCAUGCUUCUUCCACUCUGUCUCUGAAUUGGGAAUCAAAAGAUCUGCCAGAAGCUAAAAGAGCAAAUGUGUGAUUGAAAAACCAAUGACUGCUCUAAACUCACCUAAAGAGUCAGUGAGAAGGGAGAAUGUUUAACAGUGAAGCGCAGAAAAGGGCAGGGUCUGAGGAGCAGAACUGGGAGAUGAUUUAGCUCCGUGCAGCAGAAAGUUUGGUGACUGACGGAUACACAUCAAAUGGUUUCCCUGAAACACAGGCAGUGUUCCGGCUUUACAAGGCUGGGAUGCUGUCUCCCUUAUCUUUUAUGCGAGAUUUUAUCAUCGGCUUCCUGGAUACCUUGUUAGAGAGGAAUACGUGCUCUCUGUACCGCGGAGGACCCGGAAAGGAACAGUUCAGUGCUGGAAAGGAAAUUGCAGUUCACAGAGUAAAACACCGAUGAUCCCAUUGAUACCCUGGCCUCUAGUGAAUUCUAUUAGCAUGAGCCUCUUUCUCCGUGUACCUAAUCAGUAUGUCAUACUAAUGAGAUGAAGUUUCUGAAUGUGCACAUCUAAGAGAAGAAUACCAUAAAGGAAUCCUACUAUGAGGCCCCUAGAUGGCUAACCAGAGGGCCUCUUUCUGGUGACGCCGACCCUUGAGAAGUUCAACAAAGCGAGGUGCAUAUCACUGAGCACUUUCCAUCCCUUGCUGCGUCUCCACUUCCUGGAAACCUUUUCUGCUCAAAUUAUCCUACUUAAAGUUUUUGUUUAGAAGUGGCAUACAUCAAUCCUUUUUUUUUUUUUUUUUUUUU